This 519-nucleotide ribosomal RNA is filed under the name uncultured bacterium. RNAcentral's name for it is "partial 16S ribosomal RNA". It matches the Rfam family "Bacterial small subunit ribosomal RNA", at positions 28 to 507 of the family's 1533-position model. The record is from RNAcentral.
GACGAACGCUGGCGGCGUGCCUAAUACAUGCAAGUCGAGCGAGCUUGCCUAGAUGAUUUUAGUGCUUGCACUAAAUGAAACUAGAUACAAGCGAGCGGCGGACGGGUGAGUAACACGUGGGUAACCUGCCCAAGAGACUGGGAUAACACCUGGAAACAGAUGCUAAUACCGGAUAACAACACUAGACGCAUGUCUAGAGUUUGAAAGAUGGUUCUGCUAUCACUCUUGGAUGGACCUGCGGUGCAUUAGCUAGUUGGUAAGGUAACGGCUUACCAAGGCAAUGAUGCAUAGCCGAGUUGAGAGACUGAUCGGCCACAUUGGGACUGAGACACGGCCCAAACUCCUACGGGAGGCAGCAGUAGGGAAUCUUCCACAAUGGACGAAAGUCUGAUGGAGCAACGCCGCGUGAGUGAAGAAGGGUUUCGGCUCGUAAAGCUCUGUUGGUAGUGAAGAAAGAUAGAGGCAGUAACUGGCCUUUAUUUGACGGUAAUUACUUAGAAAGUCACGGCUAACUACGUG